GUGGGGAAUUUUGGACAAUGGGGGCAACCCUGAUCCAGCCAUCCCGCGUGUGCGAUGAAGGCCUUCGGGUUGUAAAGCACUUUUGGCAGGGAAGAAACGGCGCGGGCGAAUAACCCGCGCAACUGACGGUACCUGCAGAAUAAGCACCGGCUAACUACGUGCCAGCAGCCGCGGUAAUACGUAGGGUGCAAGCGUUAAUCGGAAUUACUGGGCGUAACGCGUGCGCAGGCGGUUCGGAAAGAGAGGUGUGAAAUCCCAGGGCUUAACCUUGGAACUGCACUUCUAACUACCGGGCUAGAGUACGUCAGAGGGGGGUAGAAUUCCACGUGUAGCAGUGAAAUGCGUAGAGAUGUGGAGGAAUACCGAUGGCGAAGGCAGCCCCCUGGGAUGAUACUGACGCUCAUGCACGAAAGCGUGGGGAGCAAAC
This 427-nucleotide ribosomal RNA is filed under the name uncultured bacterium. Its description in RNAcentral is "bacterial SSU rRNA". It matches the Rfam family "Bacterial small subunit ribosomal RNA", at positions 354 to 773 of the family's 1533-position model. The record is from RNAcentral.